GCAUAUCAAUAAGCCGGAGGGAAAAGAAACCCAACAGGGAUUGCCCCCAGUAACGGCGAGUGAAGCGGCAACAGCUCAAAUUUGAAAUCUGGCCCUUACGGGUCCGAGUUGUAAUUUGUAGAGGAUGCUUUUGGCAAGGCGCCGCCCGAGUUUCCCUGGAACGGGACGCCACAGAGGGUGAGAGCCCCGUCUGGCUGGCCGCCGAGCCUCUGUAAAGCUCCUUCGACGAGUCGAGUAGUUUGGGAAUGCUGCUCAAAAUGGGAGGUAUAUGUCUUCUAAAGCUAAAUAUUGGCCAGAGACCGAUAGCGCACAAGUAGAGUGAUCGAAAGAUGAAAAGCACCUUGAAAAGAGGGUUAAAUAGUACGUGAAAUUGUUGAAAGGGAAGCGCUUGUGACCAGACUUGGGCGCGGCGGAUCAUCCGGGGUUCUCCCCGGUGCACUUCGCCGCGUCCAGGCCAGCAUCAGUUCGUCGCGGGGGAAAAAGGCUUCGGGAACGUGGCUCCCUCGGGAGUGUUAUAGCCCGUUGCGUAAUACCCUGCGGUGGACUGAGGACCGCGCAUCUGCAAGGAUGCUGGCGUAAUGGUCACCAGCGACCCGUCUUGAAACACGGACCAAGGAGUCGUCUUCGUAUGCGAGUGUUCGGGUGUCAAACCCCUACGCGUAAUGAAAGUGAACGCAGGUGAGAGCUUCGGCGCAUCAUCGACCGAUCCUGAUGUUCUCGGAUGGAUUUGAGUAAGAGCAUACGGGGCCGGACCCGAAAGAAGGUGAACUAUGCCUGUAUAGGGUGAAGCCAGAGGAAACUCUGGUGGAGGCUCGCAGCGGUUCUGACGUGCAAAUCGAUCGUCAAAUAUGGCAUGGGGGCGAAAGACUAAUCGAACCUUUCUAGUAGCUGGUUUCCGCCGAAGCU
This 906-nucleotide ribosomal RNA is filed under the name Trichoderma koningii. Its description in RNAcentral is "LSU rRNA". It matches the Rfam family "Eukaryotic large subunit ribosomal RNA", at positions 38 to 968 of the family's 3401-position model. The record is from RNAcentral. Lineage: Eukaryota; Fungi; Ascomycota; Sordariomycetes; Hypocreales; Hypocreaceae.